GCGAAUAUAGGUUUAAUCGGUUAGAAUGUCGGAUUGUGAUUCCGGAAAGUAUGGGUUCGAGUCCCAUUAUUCGCC
RNAcentral lists this transfer RNA (75 nucleotides) under Gloeochaete wittrockiana. Its description in RNAcentral is "tRNA-His". It matches the Rfam family "tRNA". From Rfam's summary of the family: Transfer RNA (tRNA) molecules are approximately 80 nucleotides in length. Their secondary structure includes four short double-helical elements and three loops (D, anti-codon, and T loops). The record is from RNAcentral. Lineage: Eukaryota; Glaucocystophyceae; Gloeochaetales; Gloeochaetaceae.